RNAcentral lists this transfer RNA (84 nucleotides) under Acidiphilium rubrum. It matches the Rfam family "tRNA". Rfam says of the family: Transfer RNA (tRNA) molecules are approximately 80 nucleotides in length. The record is from Rfam by way of RNAcentral. Lineage: Bacteria; Pseudomonadati; Pseudomonadota; Alphaproteobacteria; Acetobacterales; Acidocellaceae.
GCGGGCGUGGUGGAAUUGGUAGACGCGCCGGAUUCAAAAUCCGGUUCUGGCAACAGAGUGUCGGUUCGACCCCGACCGCCCGCA